GACGAACGCUGGCGGCGUGCUUAACACAUGCAAGUCGAACGGAAAGGCCCUGCUUUUGUGGGGUGCUCGAGUGGCGAACGGGUGAGUAACACGUGAGUAACCUGCCCUUGACUUUGGGAUAACUUCAGGAAACUGGGGCUAAUACCGGAUAGGAGCUCCUGCUGCAUGGUGGGGGUUGGAAAGUUUCGGCGGUUGGGGAUGGACUCGCGGCUUAUCAGCUUGUUGGUGGGGUAGUGGCUGACCAAGGGUUUGACGGAUAGCCGGCCUGGGAGGGUUACCGGCCACCAUGGGCCUGCGAGACGCACCAGAAUCCUACGGGAGGCAGUAGGGGGGAGUAUUGCGCAGUGGGCCGAAGCCUGUGGCGGCAACGCCGGGUGCGGGAUGACGGGUUUCGGGUUGUAAACCGCUUUCGCCUGUGACGAAGCGUGAGUGACGGUAAUGGGUCAGGAAGCACCGGCUAACUACGUG
RNAcentral lists this ribosomal RNA (468 nucleotides) under uncultured bacterium. Its description in RNAcentral is "partial 16S ribosomal RNA". It matches the Rfam family "Bacterial small subunit ribosomal RNA", at positions 28 to 507 of the family's 1533-position model. The record is from RNAcentral.